Long non-coding RNA from Balaenoptera acutorostrata (minke whale), 4121 nucleotides. RefSeq lists it as uncharacterized. Lineage: Eukaryota; Metazoa; Chordata; Mammalia; Artiodactyla; Balaenopteridae. The record is from RefSeq and is a predicted model, not a curated record. The transcript has 3 exons.
GCAGACGCAGGCUCUCUCUGUAUCGAGUAUGACCGUGCUCUGCCACAUGGCACGUGCCCUCAAAAUGCGACCCUGCCAUCCCAAGUCUCAUGAACAGCAUCUGCACCUGAAUCUAACCAACUACCUGUGAGCUGGGAUUUGUAGAAGAAGAAGAAAACAAAACCCUACAAUGAGUCCCAGUGAGGCACAGAGCGCUCGGAACUUCAAGGAGUUAAAGCUGCGGAGGGCGCUUUCACGUUAACAGGAAGAUUCUGCAUGCAGCUGCUCUGGCCAUGCUCUCUAGCUAGUCAGGAAAUGGGUGUUGAGCUGAAGCUGAAAAUACAAGCUGCAAUCAAGCCCGACCCAGCAAAGUGACAGACUUCCUGUGUAAAAUGGUCAGAAAUCUCUUUUUUUUUUUCAUGUCUCCACAUGCAUGCACAUGCAUUUAAAUCCAUGCUGCAAGGCUGCUCUUUUCUCUGGGGACACUGGUACAGUCACCUAGCCCAUCACAGUUUCUUCCUUGAUGGCACCGGCGACAUCCAGACUACAAUUUACAGUUCCUCCAUCCAUGUACUGGGUUACAAAUUAUGCCAUCCUCCCUAGAAUGAGAAUGCAGGGUGAGCGGCAGACAAUCAAACGGCAUUCGGCAUCUCUUUCUUCUCAGGCGCUCGCUCGCUCUGCUUUCCUCCAACUCUGCCUCGUCGUCAGGCAGACAGACACAUCAGGUACCUGGUUUAUCCAUCUUCAGCUCCACUCUCAGGUAAAAUGCCACCACAUCUCGGCAUGGGUUUCCCCCCACACUAAUCCCUGGGAGCAGCCCAAGCUGGGUGCGCCCUGCGGAGCAUCGGUGGCCAUUGGAUGGAUGGUAUUCCUGACUUCUCCUGCCCUGGUCCUUGGCAUUCUUUCUAUCCAUCCCACCCCGGGUCUUCUGCGGCAUCACCCCGUCCUCCACGUCCCCUCAUCCAGCUGCGAGGGGACCCUGGCCAGAGCUCCACCAGCAGGUCCUUCUUCCUCACCGCGUACACCAUCGAUGCCGGGUUCGGGUGCACCACGGAGAAGCCGAGGCCGGGAGACGGCAGGAGCAGCUCAGGUAACCAGGGGAAGCUUGGCGUGCCCACAGCGAUGCAGCCCUGGAGCUGUGAGGAAAGACGGUCUGGCUUCAGAAUUAAAAUUAAAAAAAAAAAAAAAGAAAGGAAGGAAGAAAGAAACACAAAACAGCGCAGCUCGGUGCCUGCGGGGGUGGAAAAAACAGACACAAACCAUAAAAAAAAAAGCAAGAGUUAAAAUCAAAUUUCAAAAAAAAAUAAUACAUAGAUCAGAGUACUUCAUGUGACUUUUAUUUCUGACGUUUCUCGGGUUACUGGCCUCCCCGCCCCCUCCAAAAUCUCUUCUGUCCCUGAACGCUACUGGCCAUGAGUGCCGAGUCACAAAGGCUUUUUGCUCCUAAGUGCUGCAGACCCAGCAUCACAUGAGAAGCCACAUGACAACUGGAGUCGGCUGCUAAUGUGGUCAACUGUGUUGCCGAGGCACGGGAGUAGGAGGGAGACAAAUCUUAAGUGAGACAUGCCCCUCUCAUGCUGCCAGGAAGAAAUUUCCUUAAAAGAACAAUGAGGAAAAGGCAUCCCUGAAGAAAUGCUUGUGAAUGCCUACAGACUUUCAUAUACACACACUUACACAGCCUACAGAGACCAUGGGUGCUUGGAGACAUUCUGAGGAUGCUGUACCACAGACACUAGCUGGAUGGCAGCAAGAUUAUUUCUAGUUUGUAUUAGUCAAAGCUGAUUCCACUUAAGUGGAUUCCUGAAAAGCACACACCAUGUCUUCAGAGCAUGAUCAGCCUUGGAAAACCAAUUCUAUUAUCUCUCCCUGCAAUCUGUAUCUGAACCUGCAUUCUGAAUAAUUUAUUUUUAGACUAAUAAGAUGCUUGCCAAGACUGCUCCCCUUUUCUUCAGUGAGUGGCACAGGCAAUAUUCACCCAAGUGGGAGAAGCUUGCCCCUUUGUAGGGAGAAAAGACGAGACAGUCUUCAUUAUUUUCAAAAAAUGCAAUUUCCUAUUUAAAGGCAUACAAACAUACGAUAAAGUUCUCCUGGAAGUAAGCAUUAAAAACAAGCAAAAUGUUUCUGCUUCAUUGAAUUGACAUGCCUCUUAUUUGCAGUCUGGCGUCUAAUGCUGGCAAAUGGUGGUGAAAUUUUUCUAAUGCUGCUCAUGGCUGCAGCUAGAGCCCUUAAGCCACUUGGAUAUUGCUACUUCUCGGCAGGGUAAGAGCAAACAACUGCUUUCUGGAGCACCUCUCUGCAGAGGUGCCGCACUGCCAGAUGAGAAAACCGCAGCAACCGAGAUGUCGAGUACUUUGACCAAGGCCACACAGCAAACAGGUGGAGGAGCCAGGCUGCAAAUUCAGGCAGUCAAGCUCCAGAAUUCUUGCACCAGGCUCCAUCACGCUACCUGCGUCUCUCUUCCUUCCUUCUCCCCUCUCCCACCAGACCCCAAACACCAAAUAUCCACUUAAGGCUGAACCUGCUCUUGGGUCUGCCCAGGUCUUCACAUCAUUACGAAAACAACAGACAGCAACAUUCAAGGAAGAAAAGACAACUCUUCUAGUGACAUGUUUACCUAGUGAGAAAUAAUCAAAUGGCAUACCAUAGAGUUUUAAGGAAAAUUAAAGCAGGGCACAAAAGUUGACAAGUUUGUUCAUACCACAGAGACAGUGACUAGAAAAACAUGUGAAUGUAUAAGUCAACAUGGUGGGCUGAGACAUGCCUGGAAGUAGCAGAGAGCCAGCUAGAAGGGGCUAGAUGAGAAGAUGAGGCAGAUAAGCCCAAUCCAAUAAUCCUACUGAUGACAGCCAGUAUGUAUUAAACAUCCAUGACAUAGAAUCAAGCUUUCUACAGGGGCUUUAGAACCACUUAAUUUUUACAACUCUGCAAAUACGCUAUUAUUUUUAUUUUACAAAUGAGGAAACUGAGGCAGAGAUUAAGUAACUUCCUCAAGAUCAAAGAGCUAACGAUCAUUUGAGGCAAGAGUCACACCUUGCUCUAUUUGACUCUACAGCUUGUGCUCUUGAGAUUAUAGUCAUAUUACCACAGGCCAAGUUCGAAGCAUGAUCUAGAUCAAAAAAGACCAAUCGGGAGGUCUAGGCGAACAGGAUCAAACCCCAAGCAUCUGGGUCAUUAAGAUGGCACCAGUAAACAACACUGAGCUCAGACAGUAGGAUCACAGAUCAGAGGCAGCUUGCUCUUUGGUUACGGGCUUCAGUCCUGUGCCUGCUGAAAGUAAAUGCCAUCUGAUUGGAAUCAGAGCUGCCUGGAUCAUCUCAGAGCCAAACAAAUAGAAUUAGCUGCUGCAAACCCUUUUGGGAAUUAAUCAGAGUGUAAGUAAAAACAUAACCAUAUAAAAUGAGCCCUGAUAAAGUCUGAAAACAAGGGAACUUGGAGUAGCUAAGAGAAAUGACCAAGAUGUAAAUAAGAAGCUAAAUAAACUGGGGCCACCUAUAGGAUAGAGCCACGUCUGUGAUGGACAAAGUGUGAUGAACCACAGACAAAAAGAUGGUGAAUUCUGGAUAAUAAGAAAUGUUGAUGAGAUGGAAGAACCACCUGUUUUAUGUAAAGGUCCAAAUAACCAGAUCACAGUGGACAGCCACUCAAAUCAUGCCUUCAUAAUACAGAGUAUUAUUGAGAAUAACUCAAUUCGCAGGGAGCUUUAGGCAGCCAGUACUAGAUAGCCUGUCAGGGAAAACAGAAAGAUAAUUACAGAAAAGAAUCAUAUCCUCAGAAAAACAAAAAUUAAUCAAACUAAGUUUGUAAAGUCUAUCUUACAGAUACAUUGUCUGGACUCAUGCUCCCAAAAAUACUGUUUCUGAUUUCAUGCCAAUGCAUUUGGCUAAUUUAAUGGUUUCGUCCUGUUAUUUCUAAACUUUAACUCGUAAUAUCUUAGAAUCUUUCCAGUUUCUUAAAGAAUCUUAAGAAAUUCAUAAUCACAAAGGACAAAAUUUAUUUUCAAAAAAUUAAACAAUGAUAUAAUGGUUUCUCUGUUGGAGAAAAAUCAAUCGUAUGACAAUCACAUUAAAAAAUGUAACUCCAAUCAAAUAGAGGUAAUGCUUGAUUAAAUACAAGUAAAACUGAUAGGCAAAUUUCACUGAAUA